This 440-nucleotide ribosomal RNA is filed under the name uncultured bacterium. Its description in RNAcentral is "partial 16S ribosomal RNA". It matches the Rfam family "Bacterial small subunit ribosomal RNA", at positions 339 to 795 of the family's 1533-position model. The record is from RNAcentral.
CUACGGGCCGCUGCAGUAGGGAAUAUUGGGCAAUGGGCGCAAGCCUGACCCAGCAACGCCGCGUGCGCGAAGAAGGCCUUCGGGUCGUAAAGCGCUUUUCUGAGGGAUGAGAAAGGACAGUACCUCAGGAAUAAGCCUCGGCUAACUACGUGCCAGCAGCCGCGGUAAAACGUAGGAGGCGAGCGUUAUCCGGAUUUACUGGGCGUAAAGCGUGUGCAGGCGGUCUGGCAAGUUGGAUGUGAAAGCUCCCGGCUCAACUGGGGGAGGUCGUUCAAAACUACCGGACUAGAGUGUAUCAGAGGGAGAUGGAAUUCCCGGUGUAGUGGUGAAAUGCGUAGGUAUCGGGAGGAACACCAGUGGCGAAAGCGAUCUUCUGGGAUACUACUGACGCUCAGACACGAAAGCUAAGGUAGCGAACGGGAUUAGAUACCCGCGUAGUC